UACGUAGGGUGCGAGCGUUGUUCGGAUUCAUUGGGCGUAAAGGGUGCGUAGGCGGUCGCGCAAGUCGGAUGUGAAAUCUCAGGGCUCAACCCUGAAACUGCAUUCGAUACUGCGUGGCUAGAGUGCUGGAGAGGAGACUGGAAUUUACGGUGUAGCAGUGAAAUGCGUAGAUAUCGUAAGGAAGACCAGUGGCGAAGGCGAGUCUCUGGACAGCAACUGACGCUGAGGCACGAAGGCCAGGGGAGCAAACGGG
This 253-nucleotide ribosomal RNA is filed under the name uncultured bacterium. RNAcentral's name for it is "partial 16S ribosomal RNA". It matches the Rfam family "Bacterial small subunit ribosomal RNA", at positions 524 to 776 of the family's 1533-position model. The record is from RNAcentral.